UCCUGGCUACAGAACGAACGCUGGCGGCAGGCCUAACACAUGCAAGUCGAGCGGGGGAGCAAUCCCUAGCGGCGGACGGGUUAGUAACGCGUGGGAACAUACCCUUUGGUACGGAAUAGCCUCGGGAAACUGAGAGUAAUACCGUAUGUGCCCUUCGGGGGAAAGAUUUAUCGCCAAAGGAUUGGCCCGCGUUGGAUUAGGUAGUUGGUGGGGUAAUGGCCUACCAAGCCGACGAUCCUUAGCUGGUCUGAGAGGAUGAUCAGCCACACUGGGACUGAGACACGGCCCAGACUCCUACGGGAGGCAGCAGUGGGGAAUAUUGGACAAUGGGCGAAAGCCUGAUCCAGCAAUGCCGCGUGAGUGAUGAAGGCCUUCGGGUCGUAAAGCUCUUUUACCAGGGAUGAUAAUGACAGUACCUGGAGAAUAAGCUCCGGCUAACUCCGUG
RNAcentral lists this ribosomal RNA (445 nucleotides) under uncultured bacterium. RNAcentral's name for it is "bacterial SSU rRNA". It matches the Rfam family "Bacterial small subunit ribosomal RNA", at positions 17 to 507 of the family's 1533-position model. The record is from RNAcentral.